GGGGAUUUAGCUCAGCGGCAUAAGCACCUGCCUUGCAAGCAGGCAGUGCUGAGUUCCAUCCCCA
Molecule: transfer RNA, 64 nt
Filed under: Cavia porcellus (domestic guinea pig)
Lineage: Eukaryota; Metazoa; Chordata; Mammalia; Rodentia; Caviidae
Rfam family: tRNA
About the family: Transfer RNA (tRNA) molecules are approximately 80 nucleotides in length. Their secondary structure includes four short double-helical elements and three loops (D, anti-codon, and T loops). Further hydrogen bonds mediate the characteristic L-shaped molecular structure. tRNAs have two regions of fundamental functional importance: the anti-codon, which is responsible for specific mRNA codon recognition, and the 3' end, to which the tRNAs corresponding amino acid is attached (by aminoacyl-tRNA synthetases). tRNAs cope with the degeneracy of the genetic code in two manners: having more than one tRNA (with a specific anti-codon) for a particular amino acid; and 'wobble' base-pairing, i.e. permitting non-standard base-pairing at the 3rd anti-codon position.
Source: Rfam by way of RNAcentral